RNAcentral lists this ribosomal RNA (325 nucleotides) under uncultured eukaryote. RNAcentral describes it as "partial 18S ribosomal RNA". It matches the Rfam family "Eukaryotic small subunit ribosomal RNA", at positions 1470 to 1796 of the family's 1831-position model. The record is from RNAcentral.
CCCUUAGAUGUUCUGGGCCGCACGCGCGCUACACUGAUGCAUUCAACGAGCCUAUCCUUGACCGACAGGUCCGGGUAAUCUUUGAAUCUGCAUCGUGACGGGGAUAGAUUAUUGCAAUUAUUAAUCUUCAACGAGGAAUGCCUAGUAGGCGCAAGUCAUCAGCUUGCGUCGAUUACGUCCCUGCCCUUUGUACACACCGCCCGUCGCUCCUACCGAUUGGGUGUGCUGGUGAAAUGUGCGGAUCGGCCGUUUGUCGCGGUUUCCGCGUCAUGUGGCUGAGAAGUUCAUUAAACCCUCCCACCUAGAGGAAGGAGAAGUCGUAACA